UACGAAGGGGGCUAGCGUUGCUCGGAAUUACUGGGCGUAAAGCGCACGUAGGCGGCGAUUCAAGUCAGAGGUGAAAGCCCGGGGCUCAACUCCGGAACUGCCUUUGAAACUAGAUUGCUAGAAUCUUGGAGAGGCGAGUGGAAUUCCGAGUGUAGAGGUGAAAUUCGUAGAUAUUCGGAAGAACACCAGUGGCGAAGGCGACUCGCUGGACAAGUAUUGACGCUGAGGUGCGAAAGCGUGGGGAGCAAACAGG
This 253-nucleotide ribosomal RNA is filed under the name uncultured bacterium. RNAcentral describes it as "partial 16S ribosomal RNA". It matches the Rfam family "Bacterial small subunit ribosomal RNA", at positions 524 to 776 of the family's 1533-position model. The record is from RNAcentral.